UACGGAGGGGGCUAGCGUUGUUCGGAAUUACUGGGCGUAAAGCGCGCGUAGGCGGACCUGCAAGUCGGGGGUGAAAGCCCGAGGCUCAACCUCGGAACUGCCUUCGAUACUGCGGGUCUCGAGUCCGGGAGAGGUGAGUGGAAUUCCUAGUGUAGAGGUGAAAUUCGUAGAUAUUAGGAAGAACACCAGUGGCGAAGGCGGCUCACUGGACCGUCACUGACGCUGAGGUGCGAAAGCUAGGGUAGCAAACGGG
Molecule: ribosomal RNA, 253 nt
Filed under: uncultured bacterium
Lineage: Bacteria
Description: partial 16S ribosomal RNA
Rfam family: Bacterial small subunit ribosomal RNA
Source: RNAcentral